UCCAAAUGGAUGGAGUGAAAUGGGUCUUUUUUUUUAGUUUUGUAUCAGAGGUAAUGUUUUCAUUUGUUCUGAAAUGAACAUGUCUGGUUUGCUGAAAACUUUGUUUCACAUCCACUGGAAACCUUGUGUUGUGUUCAGGAUUAUUUUUUUCUUUUAAAAUUCAGAUACUGAAACAAAAAGUGAUCUUCUUUUACAUAACUAAUAUACAGCCUGCUAAAUGAGUUCCCAAAGCCUUGAGUGUGAGCCAGAUUUAUUUUUGAUUCAGAAGGUCCUUUCAGUGUGAUCUGCAUAUUGCCUCCUCUGUGGACUGGGUAGUUAAAGCAGCAUUUAUCUGUCUGUAGACUGCACUCUGGAAAAUCCUUAGUGGGCUGAUCCCCUGGGAGAUAAGACUGGAAUCUACAGCCUGGCCUGAGCAGUGGCACUGUCAGAUGUUGCCUUUGUGUAAUACCUGCACCACCACCUGGAAUGUGAAAUGCUCACAGCUCUGGGUUUCCUUUAGGAGCUUUAGUGCCACCACUGAAGUGCAGAGAAAAUCUUUCUCUUGCCCACCUGCUCCCUGUCCCUAGGUUUUGCUUUGGGUUUGCAGUGUUACCAGAUGCAAGUGUUUCAUUUACAAGCUGCAAAUGUUUAGGGGAGUGUAAAGACUUUGGUGGGCUGUGCCAGUCGUGGAAACCUAAUCUGCUGCCACGCUGUCAUGCCUCUCUGAAAGGGAACUGCUGCAGAAUCUAAAUGCUGCAAGGAUGGAUGGGACAAAGAUCAAAAGUCAAACCAUCAAAUUCCUGGUGCUGCUGAGGGCUGCCCUGAGGAAGGAGAGGAUUGCCCAGAGUGCAGAAAGGCAACCAGCUACCUACAGCUCUGUGUUAUGUGUCCCCAGCACCACUAUGCUGUAGCACAGCUGUAUGUGUGGAAUAUUUCUUACAAGGCAGCAUGAACAGUGGUGGGUGUCCUCACAUUUCCAGGUGGAGGAACCAGACCAUGGAGGGCAUAAAGGAUUUGUCCAAAGGAUCAGCAAGUCAUUUUUAAGCAAGGAGUCCUCAUCUACCUAGCCACCAGACAUUCAUCUUGUCCUGCAAACUUCCAGCUAGAUGAAUUGCUGCUUGACAGAAAUAUGUGUGUAUACAUAUCCACAUAAAUAUGUUUCCGAAGGAAGAAAAGAAA
Molecule: long non-coding RNA, 1158 nt
Organism: Poecile atricapillus (Black-capped chickadee)
Lineage: Eukaryota; Metazoa; Chordata; Aves; Passeriformes; Paridae
Exons: 4
Source: RefSeq, a predicted model, not a curated record